CACUGAGCCAACCCCUUUACUCACGAAACUCAAGUUUUCUUUGAAAGAACAACAGAGAGUUAAGUGAGAAAGAUCACAAGGAGGCAGAGAGGCAGACAGAGGAAGAGGAGGAAGCAGGCUCCCCGCUGAGCAGAGAGCCCGAUGUGGGGCUCGAUCCCAGGAUCCUGAGAUCAUGACCUGAGCUGAAGGCAGAGGCUUUAACCCACUGAGCCACCCAGGCGCCCACUCUCUGAUCCAUU
This 239-nucleotide long non-coding RNA is filed under the name Mustela putorius furo (domestic ferret). RNAcentral describes it as "lncRNA (ENSMPUG00000025785.1)". The record is from RNAcentral. Lineage: Eukaryota; Metazoa; Chordata; Mammalia; Carnivora; Mustelidae.